Molecule: ribosomal RNA, 379 nt
Filed under: uncultured eukaryote
Lineage: Eukaryota
Description: partial 18S ribosomal RNA
Rfam family: Eukaryotic small subunit ribosomal RNA
Source: RNAcentral
CAAUAGCGUAUAUUUAAGUUGUUGCAGUUAAAAAGCUCGUAGUUGGAUUUCGGGUAGGAUUUGCCGGUCCGUCUUUGAGAUGUGUACUGGUAAGUCCUAUCUUCUUGUCGGGGACCAGCUCCUGGGCUUCACUGUCCGGGACUGGGAGCCGACGAAGUUACUUUGAGUAAAUUAGAGUGUUCAAAGCAAGCCUACGCUCUGAAUAUAUUAGCAUGGAAUAACACGAUAGGACUCUGGCUUAUCUUGUUGGUCUGUGAGACCAGAGUAAUGAUUAAGAGGGACAGUCGGGGACAUUCGUAUUUCAUUGUCAGAGGUGAAAUUCUUGGAUUUAUGGAAGACGAACAUCUGCGAAAGCAUUUGCCAAGGAUGUUUUCAUUGA